This 492-nucleotide ribosomal RNA is filed under the name uncultured bacterium. RNAcentral describes it as "partial 16S ribosomal RNA". It matches the Rfam family "Bacterial small subunit ribosomal RNA", at positions 29 to 507 of the family's 1533-position model. The record is from RNAcentral.
AGUGAACGCUGGCGGUAGGCCUAACACAUGCAAGUCGAACGGCAGCACAGUAAGAGCUUGCUCUUACGGGUUGCGAGUGGCGGACGGGUGAGGUAUACAUCGGAAUCUACUUUUUCGUGGGGGAUAACGUAGGGAAACUUACGCUAAUACCGCAUACGACCUACGGGUGAAAGCAGGGGAUCUUCGGACCUUGCGCGAUUGAAUGAGCCGAUGUCGGAUUAGCUAGUUGGCGGGGUAAAGGCCCACCAAUGCGACGAUCCGUAGCUGGUCUGAGAGGCUGAUCAGCCACACUGGAGCUGGACCACGGUCCAGACUCCUACGGGAGGCAGCAGUGGGGAAUAUUGGACAAUGGGCGCAAGCCUGAUCCAGCCAUACCGCGUGGGUGAAGAAGGCCUUCGGGUUGUAAAGCCCUUUUGUUGGGAAAGAAAAGCAGCAGGUUAAUACCCCGCUGUUCUGACGGUACCCAAAGAAUAAGCACCGGCUAACUUCGUG